UGUGCGCGGGCGGAUGGAUCAACGCCGCCAAGUGGGGAAAGCGCGAAUGCAGUCCCCCACUACAACAAAUUAUGCAGUCGAGUUUUCCACAUUUGGGAAUAUCACAGGGGUCAGCACAUCCGGAGUGCAAUCGAUGAGCCCCACGCUGGGAAAAACCACCUUCGUGAUCAUGGUAUCUUCCCUGCCAGGUAAGUAUUUGAAUUCCCAUUUAUUGAAGGAAUGGAUUAACAAGUAAAUAUAUGCAUGAAUACAAGCCCACAUGAGUAGGGGAACAGAUCGUUUUCUUUGCUCAGAAAAAUAAUCCUUCCUCCAAAUGUGUACCAGGACAGUAUGUCUACCUGCCUGCCCCUGAAAUUUAUGGGUUUCUAAAAUAGGUCUUACCCAUCUUACCUGUGGUUAUCUUAUAUUAGGUGAUCACCAACCAGUUACUAAGAUACCUGCUGUCACUUAGAAUCCUAAGUUUUCUUUACUGGUAUUUCCUUAUAUUCCUCACUCUUGCUUCCUUUGUUUGCGUUAACUGGAAUUUUCUCU
Long non-coding RNA from Homo sapiens (human), 531 nucleotides. Ensembl annotates it as WEE2 antisense RNA 1. Its record names the gene WEE2-AS1. NCBI's taxonomy places the organism in Eukaryota, Metazoa, Chordata, Mammalia, Primates, Hominidae. The record is from Ensembl.